RNAcentral lists this ribosomal RNA (647 nucleotides) under uncultured bacterium. RNAcentral describes it as "bacterial SSU rRNA". It matches the Rfam family "Bacterial small subunit ribosomal RNA", at positions 202 to 847 of the family's 1533-position model. The record is from RNAcentral.
CAAAGGGAUUACCGGUGGCGGAUGGGCAUGCGGCGCAUUAGCUAGUCGGCGGGGUAACGGCCCACCGAGGCGACGAUGCGUAGGGGUUCUGAGAGGAAGGUCCCCCACACUGGUACUGAGACACGGACCAGACUCCUACGGGAGGCAGCAGUGAGGAAUAUUGGUCAAUGGGCGCGAGCCUGAACCAGCCAAGUCGCGUGAGGGAUGACGGUCCUACGGAUUGUAAACCUCUUUUGCCGGGGAGCAAGCGUGCGUUCGUGAACGCGCGUCGAGAGUACCCGGAGAAAAAGCAUCGGCUAACUCCGUGCCAGCAGCCGCGGUAAUACGGAGGAUGCGAGCGUUAUCCGGAUUUAUUGGGUUUAAAGGGUGCGUAGGCGGGAUGCCAAGUCAGCGGUAAAAAUGCGGUGCUCAACGCCGUCGAGCCGUUGAAACUGGCGUUCUUGAGUGGGCGAGAAGUAUGCGGAAUGCGUGGUGUAGCGGUGAAAUGCAUAGAUAUCACGCAGAACUCCGAUUGCGAAGGCAGCAUACCGGCGCCCUACUGACGCUGAGGCACGAAAGCGUGGGUAUCGAACAGGAUUAGAUACCCUGGUAGUCCACGCAGUAAACGAUGAAUGCUAACUGUCCGGUGCGAGUGAGCGCUGGGCGGU